RNAcentral lists this long non-coding RNA (581 nucleotides) under Camarhynchus parvulus. RNAcentral's name for it is "lncRNA (ENSCPVG00000017815.1)". Lineage: Eukaryota; Metazoa; Chordata; Aves; Passeriformes; Thraupidae. The record is from RNAcentral.
UUUUUCCCCUUUUUCCCCUUUUUCCCUUUUUUUCCCCCUUUUUUUCCCCUUUUCCCCCUUUUUUCCCCUUUUUCCCCACUAACCCCUCCACCUCUCCCCCACAGGCCGACGCUGCCUCUCGGCGCUCUCACCUGGUGCACCUGGGGAACCUCCCGCCCGACGGCUACCGGGAGCUGGAGCUGGUGUGCGCGGGGCUGCGCUUCGGCAAGGUGGAGCACUACGCCGUGCUCAGCAACCGGCAGCGGGCCAUCCUGCACCUGGACAGCCCCAAAUCCGCGCGCUCCAUGCACAGCUUCCUGCAGCAGUAUCCUUAUUCCAUAGGAGAACACACGCUCACCUGCUCCUUGUCCUCCCACGGAGACAUUCCCGAGGCUGAAACCGGGAAAAAGGAAGUGAAGAGAGAGGACGGGAGCAAAGGAAGCUCUGGCUUGAAAAAAAUCCCAGAGGGAACAGGAACGGUGCAAAAACCAGCUGGGAAUCCAUCGGGAGAGGCCAGGAAAGGCCAAAUUCCCACCCCAAAUGUCCCAGAGGAGAUUCCAGCGGGACAACUGGAGAUCCCCGAGUCGCAGGCAGGAGGAGCA